GCAGAAUCUGAGGAUGGAAUGUAGGCACAGCAGAAUUUGCACAAGGUCUGUAGUGAUUGGAAAACACCACUGCCAUAUAUAUUUGUCCAGCUCCCACUGAUUUCAGUUAAACAUUUACACUUUUGAAGACUGGGGUAUACUGGGCCUAGCACUAUCAGCAUGAAAGGGUUUAGAGGAGAAACAGUGGUUUUAAGUGUCUGCUUUGGAAGUGUAGACUGCCAGAAGUCCCUGCUUAGCCCAGGAGAAACUUGAAUGUCCCCCCACAAGAUUAAAUGUCUGUGUCUGGGAGUUUGCAGGGACACCUGAGCAGCAGGUGCAUCAUUUAUACUUAAGCCUGUUGGGACUCAGAGCACUGCCUUUUGCCUGCCUGCCUUGUCAGCAGGGCAGGCUCCAUCUGCCAGUUGCAGCCCAUACAAAAGAGAAGCAGGAGGAGGAUGGAGGGCUCCCUUGUCCUUUUCCCAGCAGAGCACAGCAUGGCAGCCUGGGCUUUUAUAUAUGCAUAUAAUCUUGUGCCCACAUAGGUAUGUACUCUUGUUUUCAGCUUUGUACUUUUAUUUUGGAUAAACCCAGUGAGCAGAGGCCCCUGUGCCCUGCUGGGCUGGCCCAGCCCUGCGGUACCCUGCCCACCCAAGGGCCGUGGCGCUCUGCCUGCCGUGGUGGCACCCAGGUCCCUCUGUGUUUCUGCUUUCUGCCACCCCUGAGAACCUCAGCUGCUUCCCCACAGGUCGCCAUCACAGGCUGUGGCUGAAGCGAAUCCCCACAGGGCGAACCCACUUGGGCAGGGCUUCACUGCCGGGCAGGGCUGCCCACACACCAAGCUCUUACUGAACAGCCCAGCAGUCAGUGAGAGAGGCUGUGGCACAGGCACCACAGAAGGUGCCAGGUGCUCUGAUGACCACAUUAGGCCCAUUAUGCUGUAUUAAUUAAUGCAGAAGGUCAGUGUAGGAUGCUAAGUGUUGAUGGGGAAGACCUGUGAUGCCCUGGGCCCUGCCCGGGCCAGGGGAGGCUCCAAGAAGUGGCUCAUCAGGUGGCACAGAAAUGCUGAAGUGAUACACACUGACAAUUUGGACACUUUUUCAAGUUGAGAAAUUAAUCAAAACCAACAUUUUCCUGCAAAGGUUUCAUUUUCAACCAAGCAGGCCUCUUCUGAUUAAAGAAGUUGCAUAAAAAUUCUUAUUCAUCUCUGCGCAGGAUCACUGCUGUAGCUGUUGGGGAUUCAGGGACAGAAGCAUUACCACCACCCACUUCAUACACUGCACUAAGUGGAUGUUGGAGCAGAAGCAGAAGCUUUUGUCUGCAAGAGGAGCAAGCACAAGCUGCUUAUUUGCAUCCAGAGGUAAGUCACAUGCUCUAAGUGCUCUGGUCCAAUGUAUAUUUGAGAUACUGCACAACAGAGCAUUGAGGGGCUGUUUAACUGAAUUAAACCUUAAUUGUAUGCAAACAAGCCAGAACAGCAUUUGGGAUCAGUAUCUUCAAGUCACUGAAAGCUACUAUGACCCUAUCUCUGAAGAAACUAUCACGACUAAUUCAAUUUAAUGAUACACAGGAUUUCAGUUCAAAGAUCAUAGAAUUCCCUUGAAACUCUGCAGCAUCUUCAAAAGACACAGAAUGUAAACAGGAAAUGGGAUACUCUGGACCACAAUAAAAACAACAACUCGGUUCUGCAACAAUGAAAAGAAAAAUAUAAAUUUUGCUUUUCUGUUACUUCUUUCACAUAUUGCAACACUCAUCUGGAACAAACUUUUGUGAAUAAAGUAAAAAUAAGAAAAGCUAAAAGAUGAAGUGAUUUUAAAAUAACCACCUACAGAAUUACACAAAUAUAAAUGUUACAGUCCAAAAUCAUACACUCAUUCUUCAAAGGCUCGCCUUCAGCACACCCGUUAAAAGGAAAUGUUCAUGCUCAGCUCAUGGAAAAGUAGUAUAUCAGAGUUGAUGAAAGUGUCGUUUCCUGCACACCCACUUACACCAUAUGGUAAACAGGUAUUUGUAAAGAUUAAAAAGUGUUAAAAAUGUCAAACUAUAUCUGAUUGAUAAAAUUUGUAUUUGCUGGCUAUUCCACAUAUGUUAUAUGUUCAAGAAAAAAACCACAAAAGUGAGAUUCAUGUGAAGACCAAGCAAUUAUCAUCAAGCUAUUAAAUGACAUCUGGCUACCGCAAAAUGUUUACAUAGUUUCAGUGCUUCAACUCAAGACCCAAGCUUUCUGUGAAUUACUUGCCUUACAAAAACAUUUGACAAGUAUAUUUUUAAGAUCAUCAUAACCAGGAUGACUGGUAACUACUCUUCUAUCAGAAUGAUGGAGUUGAACUAAUGAAGGAUCACGAAGUCUCCUGAACACUUGUUUCAGAACAUGGAAAUGAAGGAGGAUCUGGCAGCAAAUAUAGGCAGCAAUUUUUUCCCCUUUCCCAACAAAAACACACACAGAGGCACAGAUUACUUCAUAUGUGCUACAAGGGUGCCAACAAGCCUCUGAUCGAGGUGCCAUCAAUAGACUCUUGCAACAGGUCCCUACCUGAAAGGAAGACCAAUGCAUUUUUUGCUCUGUUUGGACAGUUACAAAUCGGACUAUGGCUAUGAGCCAUCUAUUGCUCUCACUCGGUGCAAGCAUGUCAGCCGAAGAUCUGGUAACAUGUACUGUGUACACUUAACAAAAAGUGCUUACAAGCCUCCACCAUCAUUUCAGGUGAUUCACCACAGCUGUUAAAGAUUCUGGGAGAUCAAUCAGCCAUUCCAGCAAUGCACCAUUAGCACGACUCUGAAGCACUUUUGCUCCAUUGCUAUGACAAAGUCACAUCACAUUGCUGACAAGG
Neopelma chrysocephalum (saffron-crested tyrant-manakin) is the source of this 2807-nucleotide long non-coding RNA. RefSeq lists it as uncharacterized. The transcript is spliced from 4 exons. The record is from RefSeq and is a predicted model, not a curated record. Lineage: Eukaryota; Metazoa; Chordata; Aves; Passeriformes; Pipridae.